RNAcentral lists this ribosomal RNA (404 nucleotides) under Actinomycetes bacterium. RNAcentral's name for it is "Actinobacteria bacterium partial 16S ribosomal RNA". It matches the Rfam family "Bacterial small subunit ribosomal RNA", at positions 355 to 776 of the family's 1533-position model. Lineage: Bacteria; Bacillati; Actinomycetota; Actinomycetes. The record is from RNAcentral.
UGGGGAAUAUUGGACAAUGGGCGCAAGCCUGAUCCAGCCAUGCCGCGUGAGUGAUGAAGGCCCUAGGGUUGUAAAGCUCUUUCACCGGUGAAGAUAAUGACGGUAACCGGAGAAGAAGCCCCGGCUAACUUCGUGCCAGCAGCCGCGGUAAUACGAAGGGGGCUAGCGUUGUUCGGAUUUACUGGGCGUAAAGCGCACGUAGGCGGACUAUUAAGUCAGGGGUGAAAUCCCGGGGCUCAACCCCGGAACUGCCUUUGAUACUGGUAGUCUUGAGUUCGAGAGAGGUGAGUGGAAUUCCGAGUGUAGAGGUGAAAUUCGUAGAUAUUUGGAGGAACACCAGUGGCGAAGGCGGCUCACUGGCUCGAUACUGACGCUGAGGUGCGAAAGCGUGGGGAGCAAACAGG